GGGGUGCCUUUGCGGGGGCAGAGCUGCGUUCUGCUUAACACAGACCCGGGGGACACCAAAAACGCGGAGCAGCUUUCUCAGCACACACCUUGGGGGCACGGCCUCGCUUUGGGACAACUCAGGGCAGCAUCGACGGGUCUCCCUCUUUUGUCCAAGGCUGGAGUGUGGUAGUGCUAUCACAGCUGACUGCAGCCUCAACCUUCCAGGCUGAAGCGAUCCUCCCAUCUCAAUCUCCUACGUGGCUGAGACUACAGGUGCUUGCCACUAUGCCCAACUAACAUUUGGAAUUUUCGUAUACGUGGAUUCUAGAGGGGUGACAGCGAAACCUGCAGGACAAAUUCGAGCAUCUUAAAAUGAUUCAACAGGAGGAGAUAAGGAAGCUUGAGGAAGAGAAAAAACAACUGGAAGGAGAAAUCAUAGAUUUUUAUAAAAUGAAAGCUGC
RNA transcript from Homo sapiens (human), 442 nucleotides. It is a transcript of the gene named septin 14 pseudogene 6, with no coding region annotated. The transcript has 3 exons. Lineage: Eukaryota; Metazoa; Chordata; Mammalia; Primates; Hominidae. The record is from RefSeq and is marked validated.